This 253-nucleotide ribosomal RNA is filed under the name uncultured bacterium. RNAcentral describes it as "partial 16S ribosomal RNA". It matches the Rfam family "Bacterial small subunit ribosomal RNA", at positions 524 to 776 of the family's 1533-position model. The record is from RNAcentral.
UACGGAGGGUGCAAGCGUUAUCCGGAUUCACUGGGUUUAAAGGGUGCGUAGGCGGGUUGGUAAGUCCGUGGUGAAAUCCCCAAGCUUAACUUGGGAACUGCCGUGGAUACUAUCAAUCUUGAAUAUCGUGGAGGUAAGCGGAAUAUGUCAUGUAGCGGUGAAAUGCUUAGAUAUGACAUAGAACACCAAUGGCGUAGGCAGCUUACUAGACGAUCAUUGACGGUGAGGCACGAAAGCGGGGGGAGCAAACAGG